This 221-nucleotide long non-coding RNA is filed under the name Mytilus galloprovincialis (Mediterranean mussel). Lineage: Eukaryota; Metazoa; Mollusca; Bivalvia; Mytilida; Mytilidae. The record is from RNAcentral.
AGAUGGCAACAUUUGCUGAUAUCUACGGGAAGACUCGCAUGGUGGUUAAAACCAACUCGAACUAUAAAAUGUGACUUUAAUUAUUUUUUUAUAUAUAUGUUCAAAUGCAAACAUUUGCUUUUUAAGUUGGGGGAAUGUAGCGGAAUCGGUUUUUAUAUAUUAAGAAUUAUAUGUAGGAUGGCUGAUUUCAAUUUACAAUUCAUUUUCAUUGUUAUUAUUUU